This 362-nucleotide transfer-messenger RNA is filed under the name Gammaproteobacteria (g-proteobacteria). Its description in RNAcentral is "Thiopontia sp018658305 Standard tmRNA". It matches the Rfam family "transfer-messenger RNA". From Rfam's summary of the family: Bacterial tmRNA, also known as 10Sa RNA or SsrA, is named for its dual tRNA and mRNA-like properties. Its role is to liberate the mRNA from a stalled ribosome. To accomplish this part of the tmRNA is used as a reading frame that ends in a translation stop signal. Lineage: Bacteria; Pseudomonadati; Pseudomonadota. RNAcentral also lists the same sequence under 2 other names. The record is from RNAcentral.
GGGGAUGACCUGGCUUCGACGUGGGUUACAAAACCUGAGGUGCAUGCCGAGGAUGUAGACACCUCGCUAAUCAUUCUGCAAUAUUAUAGUUGCCAACGACGACAACUACGCACUAGCAGCUUAAACCCCUGUAGAGUGCCGUCUGACUGAAGCCGUGCUUAUGCGUUCAGACCCAGGCGUCGACCCUCAUAAGAUCGUGAUGAAGCAUGUCUGGUGUGGAUUCACUAAAACUUAUCCGGACUAGCUGUUAACUUUCCCUGCCCGUCGGGUGGUUAGCCGCAAAAUUAAUAGACUGGGAUAAGCAUGUAGAGCCAAAGGCAGAGGAUUUGCGGACGCGGGUUCAACUCCCGCCAUCUCCACCA